Molecule: ribosomal RNA, 497 nt
Filed under: uncultured bacterium
Lineage: Bacteria
Description: partial 16S ribosomal RNA
Rfam family: Bacterial small subunit ribosomal RNA
Source: RNAcentral
GACGAACGCUGGCGGCGUGCCUAAUACAUGCAAGUAGAACGCUGAAGAGAGGAGCUUGUUCUUCUUGGAUGAGUUGCGAACGGGUGAGUAACGCGUAGGUAACCUGCCUCGUAGCGGGGGAUAAUUAUUGGAAACGAUAGCUAAUACCGCAUAACAAUGGAUGACACAUGUCACUUAUUUGAAAGGGGCAAUUGCUCCACUACAAGAUGGACCUGCGUUGUAUUAGCUAGGAGGUGAGGUAAUGGCUCACCUAGGCGGCGAUACAUAGCCGACCUGAAUGGGAGGUCGGCCAAACUGGGACUGGAGAACGGGCCAGGCUCCUUCGGGGGGGAGCAGUAGGGAAAUAUGGGCAAUGGGGGCAAACCUGGCCGAGGAACGCCGGGUGGGGUAAGGAGGGUUUUGGAGCGGAAAAGUCUGUUGGAAGGCAAAGACGAGUAGGAGGGUAAAAAGUUCACGCUGUGACGGUAGCUAACGAAAAAGGGACGGCUAACUACGUG